AGUCGAACGGACUUAACCUAUUCUUUAAGAUUAGGAGCGGUUAGUGGCGGACUGGUGAGUAAUGUAUAAGUAACCUGCCUAUCAGAGGGGAACAACAGUUGGAAACGACUGCUAAUACCGCAUAUGCCAUAAGAGCCACAUGGUUCAAGUGGGAAAGGAGCAAUCCGCUGAUAGAUGGACUUAUAUCUGAUUAGCUAGUUGGUGUGGUAACGGCAUACCAAGGCGAUGAUCAGUAGCCGAACUGAGAGGUUAAUCGGCCACAUUGGGACUGAGAUACGGCCCAGACUCCUACGGGAGGCAGCAGUCGGGAAUAUUGCGCAAUGGAGGAAACUCUGACGCAGUGACGCCGCGUGCAGGAAGAAGGUUUUCGGAUUGUAAACUGCUUUAGACAGGGAAGAAAAAAGACAGUACCUGUAGAAUAAGCUCCGGCUAACUACGUGCCAGCAGCCGCGGUAAUACGUAGGGAGCAAGCGUUAUCCGGAUUUAUUGGGUGUAAAGGGUGCGUAGACGGGAAAUUAAGUUAGUUGUGAAAUCCCUCGGCUCAACUGAGGAACUGCAACUAAAACUGAUUUUCUUGAGUACUGGAGAGGAAAGUGGAAUUCCUAGUGUAGCGGUGAAAUGCGUAGAUAUUAGGAGGAACACCAGUGGCGAAGGCGACUUUCUGGACAGAAACUGACGUUGAGGCACGAAAGUGUGGGGAGCAAACAGGAUUAGAUACCCUGGUAGUCCACACCGUAAACGAUGGAUACUAGGUGUAGGGUGUGAUAAACGCUCUGUGCCGUCGCAAACGCAGUAAGUAUCCCACCUGGGGAGUACG
RNAcentral lists this ribosomal RNA (817 nucleotides) under uncultured bacterium. RNAcentral's name for it is "bacterial SSU rRNA". It matches the Rfam family "Bacterial small subunit ribosomal RNA", at positions 60 to 884 of the family's 1533-position model. The record is from RNAcentral.